UGCGUAGGCGGAACUUUAAGUCAGUGGUGAAAUCCUGCGGCUCAACCGUAGAACUGCCAUUGAUACUGAUAUUCUUGAAUGUAGUUGAGGUAGGCGGAAUGUGUAAUGUAGCGGUGAAAUGCUUAGAUAUUACACAGAACACCGAUUGCGAAGGCAGCUUACUAAACUAUGAUUGACGCUGAGGCACGAAAGCGUGGGGAGCGAACAGGAUUAGAUACCCUGGUAGUCC
Molecule: ribosomal RNA, 229 nt
Filed under: uncultured bacterium
Lineage: Bacteria
Description: partial 16S ribosomal RNA
Rfam family: Bacterial small subunit ribosomal RNA
Source: RNAcentral